This 379-nucleotide long non-coding RNA is filed under the name Cavia porcellus (domestic guinea pig). Its description in RNAcentral is "lncRNA (ENSCPOG00000034032.1)". The record is from RNAcentral. Lineage: Eukaryota; Metazoa; Chordata; Mammalia; Rodentia; Caviidae.
UGACUUUUAGCUUCAUUAAAUUUUCUCUUUGUGGAUUUUCUAGGCGAAGCACUUCAAGAGCAACAACUGCCUCUUUAAUGGGGAAAACCAUGUUGGAGAUCAAGGAAUUAAUUGAAAGAACGUCAUUUAGCAGUUUAACAAACAUGGCAACAAAGUCAAGGUCUCUAACUAGAGCAAAAGAUCUUGAACUCAGAAAAAAAGCCUACAAGAGAAUGAAGAAGGCUCCAGUCAUGGAGGACAGAGACCCCAAGCUGUCGGGCUGCUGGAGGCAGAGUGCCUUCUGCAUCCAACUGGCAGUGACGCCGCUCCUCGCAGAGGUUGUGCACACCUGUGUACUGCAGAUACCAGUUUCAUAACACUCCAGUUCACCAGACCAUGG